CGCAUGUAAACACUCGACAUAUGUGCGGCCAGGGCCGGCUCACUGCUGGAGGUCCGACGAAGAUUCCUACCGAAACGAAAGUACAGAUGCGUUUCUUGACUGUUGCAAUUGAUGAUUAGUGAUGCCAGACUGAGGACGUCGCGUUUUACGUAAAAGUCGAAUGAAGAGCCUCGAAUUUAGGAAGGAGACAUAUAUAUGUGCACCCCAAGCAAAGCAAUUAUUAUAAACAAAAUAUACAACUUUGUUUUUUCAAGAAAUAAAUAAAAUUCAUAUUGUAAAUUAUACUGGUAUUUUUUUUUCAAUUGAAAUUAUGAGCUGUCUUUAUUUUACACACGCAAAAAUAAA
Long non-coding RNA from Monomorium pharaonis (pharaoh ant), 345 nucleotides. RefSeq lists it as uncharacterized. The record is from RefSeq and is a predicted model, not a curated record. The transcript has 2 exons. Lineage: Eukaryota; Metazoa; Arthropoda; Insecta; Hymenoptera; Formicidae.